This 1429-nucleotide unclassified non-coding RNA is filed under the name Melitaea cinxia (Glanville fritillary). Its description in RNAcentral is "misc RNA ENSMCXG00005020613.1". Lineage: Eukaryota; Metazoa; Arthropoda; Insecta; Lepidoptera; Nymphalidae. The record is from RNAcentral.
UUUUUUCCUGAUUCGCGAUAUUCGCGUAUUUUAUCAAGGUAUUCAAUUCGUUUAAGACUUACAUUGUGCUUUUCCAUUAGAACUUUUCGAUUAUCUUCCAUUUUAGUAAACCGAAAUCCCAUCUCAUGAAGUAUUUUUCUCAACGUCUUUUCAGACCCAUUGUAAUUAAUAGCUUCAGAUAAUUUAGCUUUUAAUGAUUUUAUUGUUGGCAGUUCAUUCAAUCGUAAGUGAAAAUCAUACACCAUUCGAACAACAUCAUAAUCAAAAUCGUCCAUAUCCAAACGAAAUUGCUUUUUUGGUCUCCCUUUUUUUGGAGUGCUGAAAUUAAUUUCAGUAGUUAGUCAUAAAUAAAACUCAUUCAUUCCUUUGGUACGAUUUUUAUUUCCAAAAAAAAUAGGAGCGAAACAUCUCAUCCACUAAAAUAUCGUUGUACAAUGUGUUCCCUGUAAAAAUGCUCGUAAAACUGUGCAUUGAACAUCCCCGAAACUUAUAUAGCAAAUACAUUAAGCAAUAUUCGCCACAAACUGAAGUCCACUCAUUCUGAAUCAUAUCAACAUUCCAGUCCCAUCUUUUACAAUUCCGUUUUAAAAACUCUAUACUCGACGCGGCCAACCUUGAUCCCUAUGACACUGACAGCUAAUGUCACCAUAUAACAUCGUAGUCGCGUCACCAUUAAAUUGGGAUCAUAUUGGGGGCGUCUAAAAAUGCCAUUUAUAAAAUUUACGUAGCUUUAUACCAUUAGUAAUGAUAUUCCGUUGAUAUUUUCAACAAUUCUUAACAUUUACAAGAAGUUAUCGCAAUCUGAAUUUAUGUUUACGUCCUGCAAAACUUACGUCGUGUGACGUUUAUCGACUAGGGCGGCAAGUAUCGAUAAAAAAAUGUCGGUAAUGGAAACGAAUGCACAUUUUUUUUUCAUACUCACAUUUUAGUUCAUAUAUUAUGGAAUGGAACAGAAUAUUACGAUCAUACCAUUCAUACAUACACACAUGAUUAUAUUAUACCCAAGAAAAUUAAAAAAUAACAGCUAUAGGACAAAAAGAAAUUAAACAAAAUCUGUUUAACAAUUAUUUAUUUACUUACUUAUGUUACACUCUGUAUUUUAUUCUGAAUCUGAUAAUGACAUGAGUGUUUGCGUCUCAGACUCGGAAUCUGAACUGCAACUGCUGUCACCUACAUUUAUCAAUAAUGGUUAAUCUUCAAGAGUGUCGUAUCGCACAUCUCGAUCCCAAUCAUCGUAAAAGCCCCGCAAGUUAAUAUUGCGAUGGAACCUUGUCACAAUAACAGCUGCGUGACGUCAUCCGUCACACAAAAGUACAGAUAGAAAAAAGCACCAUAAAUGAUUAGUUUUGUUAUAAAAAAACAAUGAUUACACUCAUAAGUACAUAAAAAUUAUAUUGUUGAUGUGUAAAUAUGAAAAUAUUUCUUAAUU